RNAcentral lists this non-coding RNA (27 nucleotides) under Cricetulus griseus (Chinese hamster). The record is from RNAcentral. Lineage: Eukaryota; Metazoa; Chordata; Mammalia; Rodentia; Cricetidae.
CGAGGGUGUGUGACUGGGUACAAUCUG